AGAGUUUGAUCAUGGCUCAGGACGAACGCUGGCGGCGUGCUUAACACAUGCAAGUCGAACGAUGAACUGGAGCUUGCUCCAGGGAUUAGUGGCGAACGGGUGAGUAACACGUGAGUAACCUGCCCUUGACUCUGGGAUAAGCGCUAGAAAUGGCGUCUAAUACCGGAUACGAGCUUCAGCCGCAUGGCUAGGAGUUGGAAAGAAUUUUGGUCAAGGAUGGACUCGCGGCCUAUCAGCUAGUUGGUGAGGUAAUGGCUCACCAAGGCGACGACGGGUAGCCGGCCUGAGAGGGUGACCGGCCACACUGGGACUGAGACACGGCCCAGACUCCUACGGGAGGCAGCAGUGGGGAAUAUUGCACAAUGGGCGAAAGCCUGAUGCAGCAACGCCGCGUGAGGGAUGACGGCCUUCGGGUUGUAAACCUCUUUUAGUAGGGAAGAAGCGAAAGUGACGGUACCUGCAGAAAAAGCACCGGCUAACUACGUGCCAGCAGCCGCGGUAAUAC
This 505-nucleotide ribosomal RNA is filed under the name actinobacterium MSB2131. Its description in RNAcentral is "bacterial SSU rRNA". It matches the Rfam family "Bacterial small subunit ribosomal RNA", at positions 8 to 526 of the family's 1533-position model. The record is from RNAcentral. Lineage: Bacteria; Bacillati; Actinomycetota; Actinomycetes.